This 211-nucleotide long non-coding RNA is filed under the name Elaeis guineensis (African oil palm). RNAcentral describes it as "long non-coding RNA (EGUI_LNC077039)". The record is from RNAcentral. Lineage: Eukaryota; Viridiplantae; Streptophyta; Magnoliopsida; Arecales; Arecaceae.
CUACUAUUAGAUUCUAACCAUGCAGUGAAAAGUAAUUUUUAAAAAAAUUAAAAUAAGCAAAUCAAUAGCCUUAUCAAAUAAAACUAUCAAGCCGAACCCAAAAUCCAAGAAUCACUUUGUCGAUCACGAUCAAAAUAAAUUCAAGCAUGCAAAGAGAUAGAAAAUUAUACUUUAACUAAUAUGAAAUAUUGAUAUAUUGGUGUUCUCCACA